UACAGAGGGGGCAAGCGUUGUUCGGAAUUACUGGGCGUAAAGGGCGCGUAGGCGGCCUGCUAGGUCGAACGUGAAAUCCCCGGGCUCAACCCGGGAACUGCGUCCGAUACUGGCAGGCUUGAAUCCGGGAGAGGGAUGCGGAAUUCCAGGUGUAGCGGUGAAAUGCGUAGAUAUCGUAAGGAGGACCAGUGGCGAAGGCGGGUCUCUGGACAGUUCCUGACGCUGAGGCACGAAGGUCAGGGGAGCAAACGGG
This 253-nucleotide ribosomal RNA is filed under the name uncultured bacterium. Its description in RNAcentral is "partial 16S ribosomal RNA". It matches the Rfam family "Bacterial small subunit ribosomal RNA", at positions 524 to 776 of the family's 1533-position model. The record is from RNAcentral.